GAUGAACGCUGGCGGCGUGCCUAAUACAUGCAAGUCGAGCGAAUGGAUUAAGAGCUUGCUCUUAUGAAGUUAGCGGCGGACGGGUGAGUAACACGUGGGUAACCUGCCCAUAAGACUGGGAUAACUCCGGGAAACCGGAGCUAAUACCGGAUAACAUUUUGAACCGCAUGGCUCGAAAUUGAAAGGCGGCUUAGGCUGUCACUUAUGGAUGGACCCGCGUCGCAUUAGCUAGUUGGUGAGGUAACGGCUCACCAAGGCAACGAUGCGUAGCCGACCUGAGAGGGUGAUCGGCCACACUGGGACUGAGACACGGCCCAGACUCCUACGGGAGGCAGCAGUAGGGAAUCUUCCGCAAUGGACGAAAGUCUGACGGAGCAACGCCGCGUGAGUGAUGAAGGCUUUCGGGUCGUAAAACUCUGUUGUUAGGGAAGAACAAGUGCUAGUUGAAUAAGCUGGCACCUUGACGGUACCUAACCAGAAAGCCACGGCUAACUACGUGCCAGCAGCCGCCGUAA
This 515-nucleotide ribosomal RNA is filed under the name uncultured bacterium. RNAcentral describes it as "partial 16S ribosomal RNA". It matches the Rfam family "Bacterial small subunit ribosomal RNA", at positions 28 to 523 of the family's 1533-position model. The record is from RNAcentral.